Molecule: ribosomal RNA, 335 nt
Filed under: uncultured Planctomycetales bacterium
Lineage: Bacteria; Pseudomonadati; Planctomycetota; Planctomycetia; Planctomycetales
Description: bacterial SSU rRNA
Rfam family: Bacterial small subunit ribosomal RNA
Source: RNAcentral
CAAAGGCCCCAAAGGAAGCCACGGCUAACUCUGUGCCAGCAGCCGCGGUAAUACAGAGGUGGCAAGCGUUGUUCGGUAUUAUUGGGCGUAAAGAGCACGUAGGUGGUUCUGUAAGUCAGAUGUGAAAGCCUUCUGUUCAAAGGAAGAACGGCAUCUGAAACUACAGAUCUUGAGUGUAGGAGGGGAGAGUGGAACUUCUGGUGGAGCGGUGAAAUGCGUAGAUAUCAGAAGGAACGUCGGCGGCGAAAGCGACUCUCUGGCCUAUUACUGACACUGAGUGUGCGAAAGUUAGGGGAGCAAACGGGAUUAGAUACCCCGGUAGUCCUAACUGUAAA